UACGAAGGGGGCUAGCGUUGUUCGGAAUUACUGGGCGUAAAGCGCACGUAGGCGGAUAUUUAAGUCAGGGGUGAAAUCCCAGAGCUCAACUCUGGAACUGCCUUUGAUACUGGGUAUCUCGAGUAUGGAAGAGGUGAGUGGAAUUCCGAGUGUAGAGGUGAAAUUCGUAGAUAUUGGGAAGAACACCGGUGGCGAAGGCGGCGACCUGGUCCGAUACUGACGCUGAGGCGCGAAGGCGUGGGGAGCAAACAGG
Molecule: ribosomal RNA, 253 nt
Filed under: uncultured bacterium
Lineage: Bacteria
Description: partial 16S ribosomal RNA
Rfam family: Bacterial small subunit ribosomal RNA
Source: RNAcentral